CAGUAGCCGCGGUAAUACAGAGGGUGCGAGCGUUAAUCGGAUUUACUGGGCGUAAAGCGCGCGUAGGUGGUUUGUUAAGUUGGAUGUGAAAGCCCCGGGCUCAACCUGGGAACUGCAUCCAAAACUGGCAAGCUAGAGUACGGUAGAGGGUGGUGGAAUUUCCUGUGUAGCGGUGAAAUGCGUAGAUAUAGGAAGGAACACCAGUGGCGAAGGCGACCACCUGGACUGAUACUGACACUGAGGUGCGAAAGCGUGGGGAGCAAACAGGAUUAGAUACCCCCGUAGUCCCUGUCUCUUAUAC
Molecule: ribosomal RNA, 301 nt
Filed under: uncultured bacterium
Lineage: Bacteria
Description: partial 16S ribosomal RNA
Rfam family: Bacterial small subunit ribosomal RNA
Source: RNAcentral